This 253-nucleotide ribosomal RNA is filed under the name uncultured bacterium. Its description in RNAcentral is "partial 16S ribosomal RNA". It matches the Rfam family "Bacterial small subunit ribosomal RNA", at positions 524 to 776 of the family's 1533-position model. The record is from RNAcentral.
UACAGAGGGUGCGAGCGUUGUCCGGAAUCACUGGGCGUAAAGGGCGCGUAGGCGGCUUGAUAAGGUUGCGGUGAAAGCCCGGGGCUCAACCCCGGGUCGGCCGUGGCAACUGUCGAGCUGGAGCACUGUAGAGGCAGGUGGAAUUCCAGGUGUAGCGGUGGAAUGCGUAGAGAUCCGGGAGAACACCGGUGGCGAAGGCGGCCUGCUGGGCAGUGGCUGACGCUGAAGCGCGACAGCGUGGGGAGCAAACAGG